AUGUGGCCAAAUUUUUAUACAAAUACUUGAAUAAUUAUUCAACAAAUGUAAACAAAUUGGACGCUUAUUCUCGGCCACCUGGGAGCAUUGGAAGAGGAGAGGCGCAAACUUACUAAUUACCUCAGCCAGAACUACGACAGAAGCAGCCCAAUUUUUCGCACCGGCUAUGUCAGCAAAGCUAGAACUGAGAAUUAAGCAAGGAAUCAUCGGCAUUGAGGUAGAAGUUCGGACGUACGAACUCUACGCCGCCACGACCAAAUUAAACACAAUCUUCCAUGACGGCGAAAUCAACAAAACCAAUUGGCAGGCCCAAAGAGCGGUGCUAGAAGAAGUCGGAGAAUAUUUCAGCACCGCCUUUGUAGCUGACCAGCUAGCGAGCGACAUCGUCCAAACAAUCAACAAUUAUACUGCAUUAAUGAAUACGCUGCUGGAGGACUACCCCGACGAAACGAUCCAUUCCUACAGGACAAGCCGGGACUUACUGGAAUAUUUCUUUUGCAAAAUAGCGCUAGAGGGCAAAAGAAGACCAGACCAGCGUUACCUAUAAUGAACUUUGUCAAACGCCUAAUUCAAUUGCAAAUGGAAUUUUGGGGAAGCGGACGAUCGACCGCAAACAAUUACCAUGUUGUAAAAUUGGUGGAAUGCAGCACGGAAGACCAAGACCAGACCGAUGAAGGUUUUCGCCCAUUUUGCCUAGAUGGUGUGACAUUCAACGGUAUAUUCCCUCGUCAACUAACAAACCACGAGGAGGAGUACAUCUGGCUACUCACGGGCUACGUACUAGUUCAGUACGUACGCAAGUAGCUGCGUUGCCAAGCACGUUUAAAAGACUUUACGAAAAGAAUACAAGACGCAAAUGACGCAAGAGACUUACCCAGCGAAACCCACUAAUAUCUGGAACCAGAGUUUGCAAAGCCGGAAGUAUAUGACGCAUUUCAUAACGCCUGCAGCAUAUACAAGGCUGUGAUGAUGAAACAUAUGGUGAAACGGGACAUCGGCAAGCGCCUCCAGGCAACAAUACUAGCACGGGUUGCCUUCUUCAGGGAGGCACUGGGUGCAAAAAAUCGUAAAAAACGUGUCUUCAUUUUAAAAGUGCAGCUUUCUGGUCGCUGCCUCGCCGCCUCCUUAAAGUGCAGCUCUCUUGUCGCCGCCUCGCCGCCUCGCCGCCUCAUAUUGAUAAAGAUGAAAAUUCGCUACAUGCCAAAAAUAAGUUUGCAUUUACCCUUACUUAUUCCUAUUUAUAAUUUAUUUAAUUACUUCUAUUUUAUUUCAGAUAGAUCAAUUCAUCCACUUGGGCUACGAGGAGCAAUGUCGUUUGCUUUGGCAAUAAGAAACACUUUAUCAGAGGACCGCUAAACCUUGCUAACCGCCACUUCUUUAAUUGUUAUAUUCACAGUCAUCAAGGUGGUGCCGCAAAUUUUUUACUUGGAAACGGGGACCUUAUAUAAAGAUGUUUUGACAGCCCUCGUGGAGGCGAAUUUGUUGAAAUUGAAUGGUGCCGUCACUCACGCCUUACGACCGACUGUCACUUUUAUACCCACCAUAACGUUGGGCGGUUCCCAAGGUCGCCAAGCCGCUAUAUUAAAAAAUAUAUUCGGCAAAAUUUGCAAAAUUGCUGGAGCACAUAAAGAUAUAGAGGCAAGUUGUUGCGAGUACCUUUAAAAUUUCCAAGUCAAUCAGUUCAUGACGUAUGUUACGCAACUAUUGAGUUCUUAGUUGCGACGGCUUGCCCACUCUUCUACUCUUCCAAUUGUGUAUAAAAUUCAAUGAUGUACUACGGAAUAUCAUGGUUUAUUUAACAUUCAAGAGUUCGAGAUUGUAUGUGUUCACCAAAGGCUUCUAUUCUAUUCUGAGAGUUUUGUAAAAAUCUCAUGGAGACAUACUUGGCAAUACUCUAAUAUAUAUGGAUUCGCGAUGUGGUUGCCAACACACAUUGAUAUUAAUCAAUAAUGGCUUAUAUUGGGCAUUAGGACUCAAUGGCACUGCAGCCAAUGCUUGUACGCACUCUUGAUGGCAUGGAUGUUACCGUAUUGGAAGCUGGACAAUAUCACAACGCUGUUGUUACCAACGGUCUAUUGCUCACUUGGGGGUGAGUUAUUUUUUAUAAAAAAAAUAUGUUUGACCUUGCGGAUGUUUUAUACCUUUACCAGACUACAACCAAUCGCCACGUAACAUGUGUCAGUGUCGAAUGGCUAAGCAGACAGAUGGGUACACCGUGCUUAAAUUGGCUUAAGCAAUUGUGACGGUUAUUUCUUAUACCGGCUACGACAUGGAGGAUGCCAUGAUUAUAAAUAAAUCUGCCUAUGAACAUGGUUUCGCUCACGGUAGCAUCUAUAUAUCAAAAUGUUUUGAAUUGAGUGGAACUUGCUAUUUUGCUCGUAGUCCGCAAAUGCCAGAGCU
Molecule: long non-coding RNA, 2400 nt
Organism: Glossina fuscipes
Lineage: Eukaryota; Metazoa; Arthropoda; Insecta; Diptera; Glossinidae
Exons: 4
Source: RefSeq, a predicted model, not a curated record